Molecule: long non-coding RNA, 1149 nt
Filed under: Anser brachyrhynchus (Pink-footed goose)
Lineage: Eukaryota; Metazoa; Chordata; Aves; Anseriformes; Anatidae
Description: lncRNA (ENSABRG00000018422.1)
Source: RNAcentral
GUCAAUAAUAGCUGCUAGUGUUACAGAAGAGAGGUGAAGCCUGGAGAAGAUAGAGUUCAUACCGGCAGUGUUUGUGAAAGCCUGGUGGAAUGGGGCUGAUAGUUGUCUCAGCCACAGACAACAUGGCGGGAUGUUAUUUGUGGGAAAACUCGUUCCAUGGCAACAUCUUUGUUAAAGAGAGGAGAAGCCGUCACGCUGGCAAUAGAAAGGUGUUGAUGAGCCAGGAAAGGAGUAACACAGAGCUGCUGGAAGUAGAUGGAGCACAAAGCCCUGCAACUGCCUUUGGUGGGGAGGAAGGGAAAAUGGAUCAGCCAAGUAUCUUUAUGUUUGAGGUACUUCAGGCUGGCUGUCAUGUGGGAUGGCACUGUGCAGAGUGGUGUCCAUGGAGACGGGGACAGUGUUGUUCGAAGGUGGAUUAUGUUGUUUAGUUUGUAAAAGCCUUCCUGCUAGUGCCAGCUGAUGCACUAAUGGACUGGCAGUGAUGACAUCCUGCUGAUGGAUCACAGUCUCAAAUAUACAUGAAGAUUAAAUUUAGUUAAACUUCACCAGUUGUCUUACAGUGUAUCUGGCAAUAGUGAGACUGUUUGGAGAUAGCAGCCUGUCUUGGGAGGGAGGAGAGUUAUCUCCAAAGAGACCUCAUGGUGACCUCACAGUAUGUUCUGACCUGCUUCCUGGCUAUCAGGAUAGAUGGACAGUAUUUCCAGGGGAGGACACAAGACCAAACACUUUUUAUGCUCCUGUGUUUAUUUGGUCAACUGUAUAUGGAUCUACUUCUCUGGAUGACGGGGAAUUUCUGUCUCCAUGCCAGUUCUAUUCAUUACAGUUCAUUUCAUAUUCCUAGAGUGAGAGGCCUUGGAUUCCAAAGAAUAUACUAAGACAUUUUGCAAGUAGAUGUUUAUAACACCAUUAAUAAUACAUACUUUAGUGUUUAUUGUACUAUAUCUGUUUAUUGAAAAGUAAUAAUGGUAGAAAACAAAUAUAUUGGAGAAAAUACUUUGCUUUGGGCUUGUCCUUGCAGAUGUAGUAACAUCAACAUUUGGGGAUCUGGUAGCAUUUCCACUGGAAAUCCCUUGAGUAUUUUCAGGGAUUUUACCAGUGGCUGGAGAAAAUACUUGUAAAUUUAACAAAGGGAAUCUUUGCAAACAAUGU